This 630-nucleotide long non-coding RNA is filed under the name Mytilus galloprovincialis (Mediterranean mussel). The record is from RNAcentral. Lineage: Eukaryota; Metazoa; Mollusca; Bivalvia; Mytilida; Mytilidae.
UUUUUAUGCCCCACCUACGAUAGUAGAGGGGCAUUAUGUUUUCUGGUCUGUGCGUCCGUUCGUCCGUCUGUUCGUUCGUCCGUCUGUCCCGCUUCAGGUUAAAGUUUUUGGUCAAGGUAGUUUUUGAUGAAGUUGAAGUCCAAUCAACUUGAAACUUAGUAUACAUGUGCCCUAUGAUAUGAUCUUUCUAAUUUAAAUGCCAAAUUAUAGUUUUGACCCCAAUUUUACGGUUCACUGAACAUAGAAAAGGAUAGUGCAAAUUUCAGGUUAAAGUUUUUGGUCAAGGUAGUUUUUGAUGAAGUUGAAGUCCAAUCAAUUUGAAACUUAGUAUACAUGUGCCCUAUGAUAUGAUCUUUCUAAUUUAAAUGCCAAAUUAGAGUUUUGACCCCAAUUGUACAGUUCACUGAACAUAGAAAAUGAUAGUGCAAAUUUCAGGUUAAAGUUUUUGGUCAAGGUAGUUUUUGAUAAAGUAGAAGUCCAAUCAACCUGAAACUUAGUAUACAUGUUCCCUUUGAUAAGAUCAUUCUAAUUUUAAUGCCAAAUUAGAGAAUUUAUUCCAAUUUCACGGUCCACUAAACAUAGAAAAUGAUAGUGCGAGUGGGGCAUCCGUGUACUGUGGACACAUUCUUG